AGCGGCGAAAGGGUGAGUAACGCGUGGAUACCUACCCCCAGGCCCGGGAUAGUGUUGGGAAACCGGCAGUAAUACCGGAUAACAUCUCCGGAUCAAAGGUGUGAUUCCGCCUGAGGAUGGGUCCGCGUCCUAUUAGCUUGUUGGUGGGGUAAAGGCCUACCAAGGCAAAGAUGGGUACCGGGUGUGAGAGCAUGGCCCGGCACACUGGGACUGAGACACUGCCCAGACACCUACGGGUGGCUGCAGUCGAGAAUCUUCCGCAAUGGACGCAAGUCUGACGGAGCGACGCCGCGUGCGGGAUGAAGGCCUUCGGGUUGUAAACCGCUGUCAGUGGGGAGCAAAUCGGUGGGGGCUAUCCCCCAUUGUUGAGCGAUCCGCAGAGGAAGCGCAGGCUAAGUUCGUGCCAGCAGCCGCGGUAACACGAACUGCGCAAACGU
Molecule: ribosomal RNA, 437 nt
Filed under: uncultured bacterium
Lineage: Bacteria
Description: bacterial SSU rRNA
Rfam family: Bacterial small subunit ribosomal RNA
Source: RNAcentral